This 497-nucleotide ribosomal RNA is filed under the name uncultured bacterium. RNAcentral describes it as "partial 16S ribosomal RNA". It matches the Rfam family "Bacterial small subunit ribosomal RNA", at positions 28 to 507 of the family's 1533-position model. The record is from RNAcentral.
GAUGAACGCUGGCGGCGUGCCUAAUACAUGCAAGUCGAGCGAACAGACGAGGAGCUUGCUCCUCUGACGUUAGCGGCGGACGGGUGAGUAACACGUGGAUAACCUACCUAUAAGACUGGGAUAACUUCGGGAAACCGGAGCUAAUACCGGAUAAUAUAUUGAACCGCAUGGUUCAAUAGUGAAAGACGGUUUUGCUGUCACUUAUAGAUGGAUCCGCGCCGCAUUAGCUAGUUGGUAAGGUAACGGCUUACCAAGGCAACGAUGCGUAGCCGACCUGAGAGGGUGAUCAGCCACACUGGAACUGAGACACGGUCUAGACUCCUACGGGAGGCAGCAGUAGGGAAUCUUCCGCAAUGGGCGAAAGCCUGACGGAGCAACGCCGCGUGAGUGAUGAAGGUCUUCGGAUCGUAAAACUCUGUUAUUAGGGAAGAACAAAUGUGUAAGUAACUAUGCACGUCUUGACGGUACCUAAUCAAAAAGCCACGGCUAACUACGUG